CCUACGGGUGGCUGCAGUGGGGAAUAUUGCACAAUGGGCGCAAGCCUGAUGCAGCCAUGCCGCGUGUGUGAAGAAGGCCUUCGGGUUGUAAAGCACUUUCAGUCGUGAGGAAGGUAGUGUAGUUAAUAGCUGCAUUAUUUGACGUUAGCGACAGAAGAAGCACCGGCUAACUCCGUGCCAGCAGCCGCGGUAAUACGGAGGGUGCGAGCGUUAAUCGGAAUUACUGGGCGUAAAGCGCAUGCAGGUGGUUUGUUAAGUCAGAUGUGAAAGCCCGGGGCUCAACCUCGGAAUUGCAUUUGAAACUGGCAGACUAGAGUACUGUAGAGGGGGGUAGAAUUUCAGGUGUAGCGGUGAAAUGCGUAGAGAUCUGAAGGAAUACCGGUGGCGAAGGCGGCCCCCUGGACAGAUACUGACACUCAGAUGCGAAAGCGUGGGGAGCAAACAGGAUUAGAUACCCUAGUAGUC
This 465-nucleotide ribosomal RNA is filed under the name Vibrio sp. RNAcentral describes it as "bacterial SSU rRNA". It matches the Rfam family "Bacterial small subunit ribosomal RNA", at positions 338 to 795 of the family's 1533-position model. Lineage: Bacteria; Pseudomonadati; Pseudomonadota; Gammaproteobacteria; Vibrionales; Vibrionaceae. The record is from RNAcentral.